RNAcentral lists this ribosomal RNA (647 nucleotides) under uncultured Basidiomycota. RNAcentral describes it as "LSU rRNA". It matches the Rfam family "Eukaryotic large subunit ribosomal RNA", at positions 1 to 635 of the family's 3401-position model. Lineage: Eukaryota; Fungi; Basidiomycota. The record is from RNAcentral.
CCUCAAAUCAGGUAGGACUACCCGCUGAACUUAAGCAUAUCAAUAAGCGGAGGAAAAGAAACUAACAAGGAUUCCCCUAGUAACUGCGAGUGAAGAGGGAAGAGCUCAAAUUUAAAAUCUGUCAGUCUUUGGCUGGCCGAGUUGUAAAUUAGAGAAGUGCCUAUCUGCGCUGGCCUGUGCAAAAGUCUCUUGGAAAAGGGCAUCAUAGAGGGUGACAAUCCCGUCUUUGGUACAGAGCUCCAGGGCUUCAUGAUGCGCUCUCGAUGAGUCGAGUUGUUUGGGAAUGCAGCUCUAAAUGGGUGGUAAAUUCCAUCUAAAGCUAAAUAUUGGCGAGAAACCGAUAGCGCACAAGUACCGUGAGGGAAAGAUGAAAAGAACUUUGAAAAGAGAGUUAAACAGUACGUGAAAUUGUUGAAAGGGAAACGCUUGAAGUCAGUCGUGUCCUUCAGAAAUCAACCUGACCUUGGUCUGGCUUACUUUCUGGUGGAUGGGCCAGCAUCAAUUUUGAUCAUUGGAUAAAGGCUUUGGGAAAGUGACAUCUCCGGAUGUGUUAUAGCCCUUGGUUCAUAUACAGUGGUUGGGAUUGAGGAACUCAGUGUGAACUUGGGGCUUUGGCCSACAACACGCACUUAGGAUGCUGGCAUAAU